ACUGAACGCGAUCAACAAGGAGUUCUCAUACUCAUGUCAUAUGAGAACUCAUGGUUGGGAUAAUGCAAAGUAGUCCUUUGACCUGAGGCAUCAUAGUUGUCUUGUGGUUAGGUCCUUGAUCUUUGACUAUGUCAAAGUCACUCCAUCCGAGGGUGUCCAUGACAUAGUUAGGGUUAAGCCACUUAGCCAUGGAGGCAAGUGAAUGCGCAACAAGGGAUCUCUAACCUUCAAACUGUUUGAGGGAGAAUACUCUAUGAUAUGAUUAAGAAUCUCUGGCCAGAGUAUGAAUGAAAUUUAAGGAAGUCGUUCCAAAUCACAUUCAAGGUAAUCAUAUAAGUAAAUGAAUCGCAUUGGAUAGUAGACAUGAAUAAACUAUCAAACCAAACAAUGUGGUCAAGAGUAUUGUAUUAGAGAAAGAUCGUAUUGCAUUGUAAUCCUAAAUUGAAUAGGUUCUCCACCUCUUCUGAUUAGCUAGGGUAACCAUGACAUACUGCUAGGUGUCACUCAUGGUUUAUGGAAGCCUUAAACGUGUAUAAUCACUAAAGGGAUAAUUGAAAGUAAGUUUCAUUUCACAAUCGAUUUGAAAGAGUUCUAAUCGCCCACUGCCUCGCUAAAAGGAACCUAAUGGAUCAUACACUGUGUAAGAUAGAGAUUGAAGAAACAAGGGAGAUGAGUAAGGUAAUUAAAUGGUUUAAUUAUUUAUGGCAAUGAUUAAUUAAUAUGUUAAUUAAUGAAACGAAUAAAGUUUGUUAAAGACCUCGGGUUAGUUUUGGGCCUCAAGGCCCAAUGGGCUUCGAACGUGAAGCCCAUUGACUUAAGUUGUAUGACAACUUAAUGACUAAUAAUUCACAAAGGCCCAAAUAGCCUAAUAAAACCUUAUGGCCGGCCAUAUUGAUAAAGGAGUGGGUUUUGGACUUAUUACAAGUUUGUCACUCCAAUGAAGGUAGGUAUAAAUAUGACUUUAUAGCCUUUUCUUCAUUAGGGUUUUCUUUUGGAGAAAAGAUGAGAACACAAUGUCUCUCCCUUUCUCUCUAGGAGGCCGGCCCCCUUGGAGGAGAUUAGCUAGCAAUCUUCCCUCCUCCAAGGUCACUCAUCUCUUCUUCGAGUUUCUCCUUGGUGUGGAAAAAUUAGAGGUUCUCAACUUUGGGAACUUGGAGAAUCCUUCCAACCAUCCUUAUCCAAGAAAUCCAUGGAGCUAAGAAGCAAGGAAUGAAGGCCCUCUCCUUGGGUGAUUAGCCUUUGCUUAUGCAAAGAGGAAUCAACAAAGGUAUAAGAUUUAUCAACUCACUUUGUUCUUGAGUUGAGUCUUGGUUCACCCUUCUACUUGGCUUUGAAUUUCAUGAGUAAUGUUUUGUUUUUUAGUGCAUACAAGCAUGAUUCCGCCUUAAUUGUUAAUUGCAUGCCAUAGAUGUUGCUCAAAUGAACAUGCCUUUCACAAAAUUUCCUUCAAGUGGUAUCAGAGCCUAGGUGUAGUAGUUGGUGAAUCCUUUUGGAUUUUGUAUUUUCAUAGUUUAUGAUUUGAAUGUUGUAAUUGUUACAAGCUUUAUUCUUGCUUCUUUGAAUGUAAAUUUUGUUAGAAAAUUUUCCAUCUCAAAUGUUGUAGAUGUAGUUCAUAUGAGCAUGAAUUUUGGAGCUAAAAUUUGGUGCCAUGUUUUUGGGGAAAUUCGGCCAAAUCCAAAUGGUGGAUUUUUGGGUUCAUGUUUGUCUUGUUAAAAGAGUUUUAAAGUGACUUUUGGAACCCCUAAGUGCCCUAGGAUGUUAACCCUCUUUUGUAUAGUGAAAAUUUGAGUUUUAUUGAGUGAAAACAUUCAUGGAGCUCUUAUGAGUUUUCAUGUGUGUUCUUCAGAGUUUUUGAAGUUCUUACCAAGAACAAAAAAGUUUGGUGUUUUGAUUCAAAGUGUUUGAUGUUAUGCAUAAAGUUUUGUUUAUGGUGGUUGGUGUGACUUUAUUAUAAUAAAUGGUAUGGCAUUUCAAUCAACACCCAUACCAAUCAACGUUUCCACCCAUCCCUUUCACCUUUUUCCACUCUUUAAAAUUUUGAAUUUUCACCAAACCUACUUCCCCCUUUUUCACUACCCAAACCGGCCACCCUAUAAAGUAGGGUACUUUUGGGGCUUUUAUGCAAUUACAUAAAGUUUUGAUACUUUUGUGUAUUUGUACUUUGACCCAAAAGUUUACGUUUUUACGUAAAGGCCCAAAAUCAGUAAAGGACAAAAUGUUUUGCUCCUUUAAUGAAGUUUUUGUAUUUUGAUGAAAUUUUUGGGUUCUAGUUGUAAUUACAUGAAGUAGUGGACUUUUGCGUUUUUACAAAGUGACCUCAAAAGUUUGUGUUUUGCAAUAUAGCCCAAUAGUUGAGGUUAUUGUUUUUCGGCCCAAAUUAGUUGAGAACAAAAUUGUUUUGUAUCUUUAAAUGAGAAUUGGAUUUUCAUUUCAUUUAGCUCCAUUUAAAUCAAUUCUAUGGAUACAAAAACCAAAUGAAAAUGUUGCAUUCAAGUUUAAUUAGUUUAAGCGUUAAUUAAUUAAAGAAAGGGUGAUUAUGAACCUAAGCCUACGAUAAUUGAGCUAUGUGAAAGGCCGUAGAUUAGAUUUUGGUUGUAAUUUGAUAUGAUCAAAUAUUGUAAAAGAGCAUAAGCUCUUCUUUACUUUAAAGUAAUUUGUUUUUUGAUCAAAUGUUCUAAAAGAGCAUAAGCUCUUCUUUACUUUGAAGUACUUCUUUCUUGCUUUAUUUGAUAUGCAUGAAAAUGAAGUAGAGGGUCCAACGCCUAAUAAGAAAACACGCCUUAAUGUGAUUAAACACGUAACUAAAAUCAAUCACCAUCCCUAGACCGAGAUUCAACACUAGGCUCGUGUUGGAUCGAAUCAAAGGUUCAUAGUCAUCCUAAGGCCCUAAGGCAACUAUAUAGUCCAUCAAUGAAUGCAAACCUUAUGUUAGUAGUACCAUAUACUCUUGCUUUAAAAACCGUUUUACAAGCAUAGUGGGAGUAUUAUAUACAACUAAAUCAAUCAAAUGGACCAAUAGUUGUAAUAGGACCAAAAUUGUUUUAAUAAUAAGAUUAAAAUGCAUGCUUGUAUGUGAUGAGAUAUAAAACCCUCAACCAAACCAUUAUUAAGUUGAUAAGCGUGAGAGUGCUUUGAACACUCUUUCGUGGCCUUCCACCGUGGUAGGCUCCGAUCGUUUGUGACUCGUACACCAACUUCACCCUAUCAUGGGGGAGUACAAAGUGCGUGCUUACACUCAGGAGGAGUUCUAUAUGCAUACAUGAUGUUGUGAAGGUAGGCAACGAGAAUGAUCAACAUCAUAUCAUUGUGAGGUUGUUCUUGAACCCCUACUCGAACUUGCAUGGUGGGAAUGACUUAACUAAGUGCAAUGGAACCAACAUCAUAUCAUUGUGAGGCUUCAUUCUCUAGAGGCCAAAUAAGAUGGGUACUUGCAAGAGAUGCAAAUGAGUAAGCGUACUCUCUCAUUAUUAUUGAUGCUAGCCAACAUCAUAUCAUUGUGAGGUGGGCUUGGUAAUAGUGAGUCUCCCAUACCCUACUAAGAGUUUCCUCCAAAACUCUCGAAUUCCGAUGAGGGAUAUGAAAUUUGCCAAAAAUAGUGGGUGGUGCUAUUUGAUUUAAAGACCCGGAUCAAAUGGCUUAAAUCAAUCAAUUUAUAUUCGUUAUGUAUUUAUUUACCGAUAUAUUUGUAAACACUAUCCAAAACUUGACAAAGAAAAAACCGAAAGCUUUAGUUUCCAGACUUGGUACUACAAUCCCAUAGAUUGUCUUUAAUGGCUUGUAUAUGUACCUAAGUAGUCUCAUCCUCACAAUCUUCCUAUUGAUAAUGUAUCAUCGGAAUAACAUGUUAGAUAAGUCUAUCAUAAAGAGGACAACACUUUUAAUGUCAUAAUUCUUCAAUUGCAAAUUGUUGUAUGAAGAAAUAAGAGUUGCUUUGAACAACUCUUAGUUAACGCAAACAUUAGUGUUUGUUUCUUUGUUACAUGAACAAGGAACUUGAGAAGUAAGCACAAGGGCAUGUACACUUUAUGUGCCAUGAUUCUUCACUUACAAAUUGUUGUAUGAAGAAAUGAGAGUUGCCUUGAACAACUCUUGAAAGUUUGUAAUUAUGUUUAUAACAUAAUGGUUGGUUGACAAAAAUAGUCCAUCAACAUGGACUUAUGAUGAUUUUUGAAUCAUUGAGUGUUGAAGUGUUAAACCACUUCACGAGACAGAAACUAGGCAAGGACUUCACCUUUUGUGUCCCUAUCCAAAUGGUUCACUAAGUUUAUUGUAAACUAUAUAGUGAACAAUAACCACACACACGCUCUCCAAAAUUGUUUGAUGUGUAUAACACAAUUGAAAAUAAGUUUCAAGAGAGAUAGUGGGAGUUUAGGGACCAUGACUAUUGUAGUCAAAGGAGAAGUCAAAUGAAGAAGGCGAAAUAACUCCAAGGGAACAAACUUUCUUUAUGAAAGGAUGGACAUUGGAAGGGGUAUUUGCAAGAAAUGUCUUGCAAGUGUCAAGAACACACCUUUCGAAGGUGUUGUAAAUUGUUCUUGAAUAGUUCAAAACAGUUGGUUCUUCUACUUGAAUGCUUGAUUCCGUAUUAGUAACUAUGUUUUACAAUCGUUGUAAAAGUGUGGCUAAUAAGAAGUAGAAGAUUAAUGAGAGAAGAGAAAGUACUUCACAUUCGGAACGUGAAUCAAAUGUAGAUCUUUGCGAAAGCAGGUAGUACUUACUUCCUCAUAUGAACUACCAAAGAAAAUGGAAAAACAAAGAUUGUCUUUACAUUUCAAUUUGAAUAAAGGAACAUAAUUCCGUAUGAGAAAUGGAUGAAUGUUUUGUUUGACAAAACAUUGUUCUUUAUUAAUGAAUGAUUAGAUUAUUGUAAUAUAAUUGAUUAUUGAUAGGAGCAUAUUUAUGCGACUUAAUUGGCUUGUUCUUGUGCGUUUACGUUGUGUUUCUUUAGUUAUUUUAGUGUUUAAAGCCAUUUUCAUUUGUUUGUAGGUCUUAAUAACAACCUUGGCAAGAAAAGUGCAUUUUGGUGCAUGUUGGAUCAAUAUUGGGCUCAAAUGGAUUGCAUGCAUGAGGAUGGACGUUUUGGGCAUAUGUGUGUGCAAGUGUGUGUGUGUAAUUGCAAGGAUAAACAAUGACAACUCAUACACAUGCAAAGAAGCCCACAUGCAAAGUGAAAGACUCUAAGUACAAAGUAUGCAAGAAAAUGCAUUUUGAAGGCCUUUAGAGCAUGUUUCGGGCUUGGAAUGGAUAGCAAAUGCAUGGGCCAAAGUGGAUGGACGAAUUUGAGAACUAAAGAGGCCAAGAAUGUGAAGAAUUAGUGUCCAAAAGUUAAAGAAUUCAGCCCAAAAAUUUGUCACUCCAAGUUGCACACUCCUUGCCAUGCAAAACACAUAGAAUUCCCUUUGGAUUCCCAUGCCAUGCUUGAUCACUCUUGUCCCCUACAUAAUUUCUGAUUUCAUGCUUUAAUUCAUUUAAUUAUUUCACUCAAUUGCUUGAUACCUCUUGUUCCCUUCACCCAUUAGAUUUUAGACAACCUUUACAUCCAUUACAUGCACCAAUUGAUGCUCUAUCAUUCACAUUUGGAAUCCAAUGGCAUGUGUCACACAUGUUGUUGCACCUUUGACCCAUUUGUUGACACAUUUCACCUCCCUUUCCAUCUCUAUGCAAUGUACAUAAUCAUUCAUGCUCCCUAGCUGCAACACCACUCCAUUUUACCCUUCACACUUUGCAUCAUCACUUCAUUUUCACCCUUGGACCAUUGCACACCACACACACCAACUUGCCAUGCAUUUCAUCCCUAGCCUAACCUGAUUUUCUAAGGUUUUUGGGGCCUAUAAAUACAUGUUUACACCCCUUGGCCAAAGAACAAUCCCCCAUAUUCAUCAUUUUAUCACAGAAAUUCGUCCAUACACACCCUAGGAAGCAAAACACCCCAAAAACACCAUUCUAGUGCCUAGAAAACAUAACAGCCACUCCACCUUCUUCCACCCUCUUUGCCUAGUUCUCCACCACCUUCCAACCAUCAAACACUCUUCCACACUCACCCUAAACCCCUCCAUAUCAUUCCCCAUCCAUUCUACACCAUAAAUCCACCCAAAAAUCUGUCCACAAGCUUCAUGCCGCAACAAGGAGGAAGGGAGAUCCAUUGAUGCACUUGCUUUCCAAGUUGGAGCAUUUUAGGUGUUUUCUUUCCUUUGAUUUUAAUGUCUAAUUUUAUGUAUCUUUGUAUUGCAAGAAUGAGGAACUAAACCCCCUUAGUUGGGGGGUGAUUCGAAACCAUGUACAUGCUUGCAAUAUGAUUUGAUUACAUUCAGUUGUUAUUUCAUAAGUUGCGGAUUCAAUUCGUUCAUCUACUUGAUUGAUAACUUAUUUGUGUAUGUUGAUUGAGAGUGCACGCUUAGUUUUCAUGCAUGAAUAUGAUGCUAGAUUAUGAGGGAGUUUCACCUAAUAGUUACAAUCUUAUAAUCACAAGUAGUGAAGGUCGCUUGAAAACGAUCGCGUUGAAUGAAUUCUUGGCACUAGUUUCAUGCUCAUCAUAGUAACGAAUGCCUCGUCAACACUUAUAGUUCUCAUUGUGUGCUUCAUGAUUCUUGAUUGUAUCUUUAUUGUGCUCAUCACGUAAGGAACCUUUGAGGAAUGCUUUGAAUUGUUGUAUGCGCUUUUCCAUCCAAUUCAUUAACUUAAGGAGAACUUGAAGGUUAAUUUAAGCGUAUCUAAUUAACUUGGGGUGUUGAGUUUCAUAAUUUAUUGAAAGAACAACUGAAAAUCAUUUUGUUUGCAAGUGUGUCAUGUGUGAGAAGAACCUCCUAACUAGCCUUUUAUCCAUCCUUUUCAUCCAAAAACGUUUUACAAUCUGUUUUGUUUUAAAGUUUCUGUUUUGUUUUUCAAUUUUCGUCCAAAACAAAUCCCCCUUUAUUUUGAAGUCUUAGAUUAGUUAGAAAGUGUUUUGAUUUGUGUUUCUAAGUGUUUUGAUUCAAGUUUUCAUCCAACUUCGUCCAAGUUCUUGUUAGGUUCUCAAAACUGCCCAGAAAGUGGUUUUUAGGCAGUUUUGAGUCAUUAGGUUGCUGUUUUGAGUUUUAUGUUUGUUUAAGUAUUUUAAAGUAUAGUUUUGCAUUCUUUGAGUCUAGUUUAGUGUUUUAAAUUUUGUUUUUAUGUUUUUAAGUCAGUUUUCAAGUGUUUAGCAAUCCCUCCUAAUCCCCGGCCUAGAACGAUCCCUACUUACAUACUUUACUACAUUUGAUAAAAAGAGGGUUUAAUUUUUGUGUGUUAACUUAUUUUACGCAUCAAAUUUUGGCGCCGUUGCCGGGGAUUAGCAACUUUGCUAAUCUCUUGGAUUGUUUUCUUUCGAAUUAUUGUAUUUUGUUUAAGUUUCUGUUUAAGUUGCUGAUUUGUUUUGUUUUCUUUGUUUUUAGGUACUAGUUUAUGACCCGUAGCUCACAACCUGUUCGUGAGCAUAUCUCCGACUUUGACGGUGAUUUUGAGAGGACUUUGAGAAGGAAAAAGAAAUUGCAAGAGUCUAAUCCUCCUAGUCCCGAGCCUGAAUUAGAAGAGCAAGAAGUUGAGGUUGAAGAGAAGGCCACGGCACAAGUGGGUGGAGAAGAGCAAGGUAUAGCCAUGGACAACCGUACACUCAAGGAGCUUGCCGCCUCGGGUUUGGAUAAUGCCGCACCAUUGUGUAUCCAAUAUCCCAUGGCUGCUCAAGGUAAAACCGAAGAGUUCGAGUUAAAGUCAAGUUUGCUCCACCACAUUCCAAAGUUCCAUGGGCUUUCCAUGGAGGAUCCGAACAAACAUUUGAAGGAAUUUGAAGUGGUGUGCUCAAGUAUGACUCCGGUUACCGUUGACGGAAGUAUUUUAAAGAUGAAGGCUUUUCCAUUCUCUUUAAUGGACAAAGCCAAGGAUUGGUUAUACGAGUUGGCUCCCGGUACAGUUACAUCUUGGGAGAGUAUGAAGAGGGCGUUUCUGGAGAAGUUUUCCCAACUUCUCGCAUCAUUCUUUUUCGUAAAAAAAUAAGUGGAAUUCAGCAAAGCCAAGGUGAAUCUUUUCCAUCUUAUUAUGAACGAUUUAAAUCACUUGUUGCUUCUUGUCCACAACAUCAGAUGAAGGAGGAGUUACUUCUUCAAUACUUUUACGAAGGUCUUUUACCACUUGAACGGCAAAUGUUGGAUGCUUCCGCGGGAGGAGCUCUAGUGGAUAAGAUACCUAGGGAUGCCAAAACUCUCAUUGCGAAUCGAGCACUCAAUGCACAACAAUAUGAAGGUGUUGGGCAAAGAGACACCCCACGGCCAUAUCAUGUCAAUGAGGUAAGUUCUAUUUUUGAGUUACAAUCCCAAAUGGCUAACCUUACGUCUAUGUUAUCGCAGUUGGUUGAAGGCCCCAAAACGCAAGGAACUACAAUCUGUGGUGUAUGCUCCAUUCAAGGACACCAAUCUGAUCAAUGCCCUCAAUUAAUUGAGAAUGGAGGAUGGGAAUCGGCCAAUGCUGUGGGUUAUGGGAAUCAAAACCAACCAAGGAAUGAUCCUUUCUCCAAUACAUACAACCCGGGAUGGCGUGACCACCCCAAUUUCAGAUGGAGAGAUGCACCACAAUAUGGCCAACAAAGUGGAUUCCGACAACCCCCGGGUUUCUUUCCAAGGCCAAUGGAACCACAACCACCUCCUCAAGCACAAUCUUCCCAAACUAACCCAGGUACAUCUAUGAAUGAUGAUAAAACAUAUCAGUUACUAACCACCAUGGCGCAGGGAAUGCAGAACCAAACAAAGGAGGUUAAUGAGCUGAAGAAGCAAAUGGGCCAAAUGGCCGAAUUUUUGGGGCAAUUCCGUGAAAAUGGUAAGUUACCAAGCACUACGGUGGUCAAUCCAAAGGGUGGCUUCGAAUCUGCAAAGGCUAUCACAUUACGAAGUGGAAAAGAGGUGAGAAACAAGGAAGAUGAGAAGAUACAACUCGAAGAAGAUGAGAACACCUACCCCACGGCAAGGGUACCAUCACCCAUGCCGCAGCCAUCUAAGACAUCCCAUCCGUCCACCUCAGGUAAGAAUGUUCCAAAUGUUGUGAUUUUGAACACUAAUCUGCCCAAUGUCCCCUUUCCUAGCAGAUUUUUGCAAUCAAAGAACGAAGAGGAGGAAAAAGAUGUUCUAGAGACAUUUAGAAGGGUGCAUGUCAACAUUCCCCUCCUUGAUGCCAUAAAGCAAAUCCCGAAGUAUGCCAAGUGUUUAAAGAAGCUUUGUACAACAAAGAAACGUGUCCGGGAGAAAGAGGUGGUACAUGUAAGUGAGAAUGUCUCCGCCAUCUUGCAACAUAAACUACCCCCCAAAUGCAAAGACCCGGGAAGUUUUACAAUUCCAUGUGUCAUUGGUAAUACCCGUUUCAAAUCUGCCAUGCUAGAUUUAGGUGCAUUCUAUUAAUGUUAUGCCAUAUUCCAUUUCUGUGCAUGCAUCUAUGAAUCUAGGAGCACUUGAAACAUGAUGGUGUAAUCAUACAAUUGGCCGAUAGAUCUAACGCUUAUCCAAAGGGAGUUUUGGAAGACGUUUUAGUGCAGGUUGAUCAUUUAGUCUUCCCAGCGGAUUUCUAUGUCCUCGAAAUGGAUGAAUCGGACCAUGCCCCUUCAUUGCCCAUCCUCAUUGGAAGGCCAUUCAUGAAAACGGCUCAAACGAAGAUUGACGUGGCCAAAGGAUUAGUCACUAUGGCAUUUGGUGGUGACAUGAUUAGUUUUAAAAUUUCUGAAUCCAUUGAGACUCAUAAUAUUGUUCAUUCUUGUUGUGCCAUUGGUAAAAUUGAAAAGAUAAAUCGGACCAUUCAGCACCAAGCACGAAGGAUGCAUCAAGAACCAUGCAAGACGAGGGAAUUGGAGUGGAGUACAAGGACCAUACGGCCACUGCUCUCAAAAUGCUCAAAUUGGCCGAACGCACCAUGGGGAAGAAUGUUCACAUUGCUGCCACUUCAUCACAACACAUAGGUAAGCCACCUAAUCCAAAUCCAAUUUCCAUUAAAGUUGAUAGGUGGUUCCCUUCUUUGGUGCAGGUACCCAAGCAAAUCCCCGAUGGUGGGCGUAUGAACAUGAACCUUAGGCAACACAACGCACCCAUCAACAAACAUCACUAUCCAUUUCCGUUCAAGGAUGUAAUCUAUGAGAACUUUGUUGAGCAUGUUGUGGAGGACAUUCCCUUGCAUGCCGUGGGCUCCAGUGGGGAGUAAUUGUGUUCAUCGUCCGGCUGGAAGACGUUAAAGCAAGCGCUUUAAGGGAGGCAACCCAUUUAUUCUGCUUGAUUGUCAAUUUUAUUACUUGUUUAAUUAUUUUUGGUUGUGACUUUCUAUUUUGAAACAUUAACAAAUAUGCAAAGGAUUUUAACAUUAAACUUCGUGGAAAUGAACAGCAAACUGGGAAAUAAAAAGAACAUAGCAUAAUACAAGAGGGAGCCUUCACAAAGGCUGCUUGGGAGAGGUCGUAGUCGGCGGAGUUGCAGUAGUCGGCGGAGUCUCAGCAGUCGGUGGGGCCACGGAAGGAGGAGGUAUCGGAGGUUGAUCAGUUGGAGCUUCACUACGCGGUGCCGCCCCAGAAGACGAAGGCAGAUGCUGUUGGAACAAACCCACAAACCUCCGGUGAUCAAGUAAAAUCUGACCAUCAGUUUCCUGCAGCUGGUCAAUUUUCCUCUUCAUAUUUGUGGCAUAACUGUGUGCAAGCUUGUGCAAUUGUUUAUUUUCAUGCUUGAAUCCUCUAAUCUCCUCUUUGAGACUCUGUAUUUCAGCCACCAACGAUUCAACGUGACGGGUUCGAGCAAAUAGGCGUUGGGCCAUGUUGGACACAGAACCCGCACACUGCACGCUAAGAGCCAGAGACUCCUUAACCGCCAAUUCAUCAGACCGUCUAGCGAGCAGUCUGUUAUCUUUGGGGGUGACAAGGUUCCGGGCCACCACCGCAGCGGUCAUGUCAUUUUUCAUCACCGAAUCCCCAACGGUAAGAGGACCAGUAGGGGAUAUGAAGGACGGGCGCCAUAUGUUGUCUGGAGAAUGCGGGGCUGCACCUUCACCAAGGUUCAAAUCAAAACGACGAUCAGAAGGGCCAGACAUUUUUCAGAGGUUUUGGAGAAAGAAGAGAUCGGACAGAUUAAGAUUUCGGAAGUGCAAGAAGGGAGUGUUUACAGGAGGGAGCUCAAGUGUGUUGUGGAACAAAAUUAACGCCUCUAUAAAAAGAAGAAAUCAAAGAGGCGCUCCUCAGAAAUCGAAGAAGCGUCCUCUCGCAAAUCGAAGAGUCGAGGCUCCUUUCUCAAAAGCCGGAUUCUUUUCUCAAAAGAGGCGUUUCAUUUCUUAAAAAAUGGGCUUGCUCAGAAACCACGAGCCGAACCCCGAAUUUCAAAAGAUCAAUUUGUCCAGACGUGUCGUCACUCGUCACAUGCAACUUGCAGCUUUGCGGAAAUUACGGGCAGCUUUGUCAGAAAGCGCGUAAUUUGUACUAUUCAUCCAUCCACCGGCUGCCGACAAUGAGUGAGAGAAUAGUUCCGGUUGUGAAGAAAAGCCCUAUAAGUAUCUACCUUCGCCUUCCACAGCAAAGGCACACCCUCUCAGCACUUCUUCAUCACUUCUAUAAACCAACUAACAAAUGUUGUUUUGUUGGGUAGUUCAUUGUAAUCCUACAAUAUGAUUUACCUAAGCGCAAAUGAACGAGAGAUAAAACUCAAAGAAUGGGUUCUUUGAGAGACAAGAUGAUAAUCAACAAAUAUAACAACCUAGUUCCUGCACCACAAGCUCCAAGGUAGUCGAGAAGGAUUUAUAAACUGUCUCAGUUGAAUGGUUUGAACUUUAUGACUAUGUCAUAGAGUUACACCUCUUAAUUCGAAAGAAAUAAGAAUGAAAAUCCUUAUAACUACAUUGAGUGUAUAUACGACAUAUACUCAAGGAAAUGGUAAAGUACCAUUUGACCCGAAAUAAUGAAACCUUUAUAGCUAAUUGGUAGCUUACGGUGACUACAAUCAAAGAGAAUGGUUGACUUGGAAGAAACCAUCUUUGACAUAGUCUUGGUUUCAAUUAAUUCAAAGAUUGCUAGCUACAACUAAAUGGUGAUUCAAUGUUUGGACAUAAUAUGGGUUUCCGAAACCAUUAUUAAGAUUGUCACGCCCCGAUCCCAACAUACGUCCAAAAUCGACACGUGACGUCACCAAUACUCGUACAUCUAACAUACCCCGCCUCCGGGAUAUGUACAAAGCAUAAAUCAAGAUUCAAAUUUCAUAGCAUUUUUCGUACAAUUUAUGGUUGCAUCUAACCUCUUCGUUAGACUGCCUACGUACCCUCAAUAGGGAUGAAGCCAUUCAUAGUUCAACGUUCGUCAAACUUUAAUCUUUUCGUAAAAUACUUAUAGUGAAAAAAACAUAGGGUACCACAUUACGAAUCAACCAUAAGCCAUACACAAUUAUCAUCUUGUCAUGCACGCAGGUAUGCUAUGCCCACACAUAUUUUCCACUUCAUCCUUCAUAUAAAUCACUACAUUUCACAUGAUUCUCCAUUUCAUAAUAUGCAACAUCUCAAAGAACAAUCAACGGAUCACCAUGAUAUUCUCUAGCCAAAAUAGUCAACGAGUCUAAUUAUAAUGACAAAAAUCACAACCAACAUUAUUCCACAAUCACAUCAAUCAACAACACAUCAUAUACCAAAAUGCAAGGCUAGAGCGACAUAGUUUGGCCGAAGCCUACAUCUCUAAAGUUAAUAUCAAUCCAAGGAACUAACAAGUCAAUGAUAGGAUUCCGGACCAUCACUCAACAGAAUCCAAACCAGGAUACGAUUCCGGACCAUCACUCAACGGAAUCGCAGAGUAGAAGGGAUUUCAGACCAUCACUCAACGGAAACCAAACAGAACUUAGUUUCGAACCACUCAAUAGAACCAAACGGAAGUCCCAGAAGCAUAACUACGACUCGAAUGAACAAGACAGGAUUCAAGUUACUCAAUUCACGAAGACUCAACAAAAUGAACUAAUAUCGAGCAACAAAUCCCUAUCACAAUGGGUUAUCGGUCCAUUACUAGAUCUCACAUCGCCCAAGCAAUUCAAUAUGCAUUUCAAUCACAUGACACAACCAUUUCCAAUACACAAGUCAAAUCACAUUUCACUACAUCAUACCAAUCACUAUGCUUCCAACAUUAUAUCUCAAUCCAUAGCUUGUAACAUAUCAGGGAAUCACGAAGCACAAUAUUAAUAUUUAAUUACAUUAAUCAAUCAGUGAGAUAGCGCAUCAUUUCACGAGUUUAAUUAAAGAACUCUACAUAAUUCCCUACUUGGGUUAUGAAUAAUAACAUGGUAAUUCUAAUUUGUAUGCACAAGAUCCAUUGUGCGUAAUUCUCAUUCACUCGAAUCUAGGAUUCUAAGAUAACCUUAUGGAAAUGAGCAAAAGCAAGGAUUUCGGACCACUCAACAGAAUCCAACAACAUUGGGUUCCAGACCACUCAAUGAAACCAAAUUACAAGUAUGAGAUAAUCAAUAAAAAGAAAGACCAUUGAUCAUAGUUUAUAACCUCAAAUAUAAGUUCGUAAAUAUGAAAACAUAAUCAAGUCUUUAACAACUCCGAAGGAGUCACCCAGACAUUCAAUGACUUAUCCCAUUCAAACCAUCAAGAUUCUCAAAAACCAUCAUUCAUAUGUACAUUAAAACUAGGGUUAGAAUGACGCAGUUCAACUGAAGCCCACAUAAGUAACCAAACAGGAAGUGCCCCCCCCAAAGCAGAUUAACCAAGCAGAGCCACCAUUGAGAAAGUAACCAAGUAGGCAGUGACCCCCCAAUACGGAUUAACCAAGCAGAGUCACCCCUACAACUAUUAGGAAGUGAUCACCCAAUGCGGAUUAACCAAGCAUGAUCACUCCUAAGCAUACAUGGCCAUAAGGAUUACCCAACGCAGAUUAACCAAGCGCGAUCCAUAUAUAGUAUGGUCCCCCAAUGUGGAUUAACCAAGCAGGACCACUAAUGACCCCUCAAUGCGAAUUAACCAAGCAGGGUCAAGAUAAUCAGGUAGGUAGUGAUCACCCAAUGCAGAUAUACCAAGCAUGAUCACUCCUAGAAUGCGUAUGGUCCCCCAAUACGGAGAUACCAAGCAGGACCAUCAAUGUACAACUACUACAUGGUGUAGUAAACUCAACACCUCAACUUAUCCACAUCUCAACCCCUAUGAGUUACAACAUAGUCACCUACACCAUCAACUUCUCGAGGUCACCACUAAUAUGUCACCCAAGCAUAUAAGUGCUACAACAUACCUCUAAUAGGAUUCUAGGAUCACAUUGUCAUGAAAAUAAUCAUACACCUCAUACAUAUGUAACCACAUUUCAUAAACGUUUCCAAGCUAUAGUCGAUUCACAAUUACUAAACAUAGAUCGAUGCUAAAAAUAAAAAUAACAAUUCAAUAGAAAGCACAUUUAAUAAACAAGUAUAACUCAAUAUGGUGCCACUAAUACAUAUAUCGAGACACACGUCAACUGGGAACGACACGUCAUCGUGAUGAGCCAACUAAGCUCCAUCAAGCCUUAACAACUUUAGAGAUAAGCGACACUUUAGAGUAGAGCACGAUGAUUAGAACAUCAACCGUUGAUAAGGUAGGUCCAUUAAGGUCAACAACCUAAGGUUAUUCAAUCUGGAAGAUCCGUACAUCAGAUUUCCGAUCUGUAAGUUCUCAAAAGUCCAACAACUGAUAACUAGGGUGUUCGCAAAAUUGUACGACGAUCCAACGAUCGGAUUGUCAUCAAUCAUACAAACAAGUGGUGGUCCAAUUUGAUCACCACACCAAACAAUUGAAUUUCGGCAAAACCAAGCUAGACAUAGGUUCACAGGGUCACUAGAAGGUAUUUGGUACUUAAACAACACUCGUGGACUGUCCCACUCACCGCCACACGUGGUGGUAGCCAAGAUGGAGGGUUUAGAAAACCCAAAUUUUCAAUAUUAAUUAAAUGAGUUCAAAUUUACGUGGUAGCUAGAGCUCAACAAGGGAAACACUUUUCACAACUAGCCCAACGAAAAAUUCAAGCCUUAUGCCAUCCAAUUUCACCAGGGAAAACUGGAUUUCUAGGGUUCUAAACACCCAACACUAAAAUGACUACAAAAACACAAACCAAGCAUACUAACUUGAAGAUUAUGAAGAGCAGGUAAAGUUUCAUACCUCACUCGAAGGAAAUGAUUGUUGGAUUCACCGGAAAAAUGCUAAAACCGCCGGAAACCCACGAAAUUUUGUUGCCUUGAACUGGAAAAAUGGAUAAGAAAAUGGGAAAUCUAAAAAUACGGAGAUGUAGGGCUCACCAAGAGUUUUCCAUGGACAUCAAGAUCACCAAAACGGAGCUCGGAUGAAGGAGAUACAAGCGGGUCAAGUUUGUGGAUCAAAAGGGUCGAAAAUGCCCAAAAACGUGUCAAAACCAGACCAUCCUUCCUCUUUUUUUUUCUUUUUUUUCUGUCCGUGCCUUUUUAUUUUCCAUUUCUCCCUAGUCCCUCUCCCACUAUGUGGGAGUUUUAAAAUAAAUUAAAAUAUAUAGUUUAGUAACACAACUUCAAAUAUUCGUAACUAUACCGUUAAAACUCGGACUCGCAAGCGACUUUCGCCUAUACGUUCAUGAUCUCAAAAUCUAUUCAACGAUAUAAAUUGUGACCUCGAAAGGUCUACGGAUUUUAAAUAAUUAAUCUCCAAACUUCAAACUUCGUAACUAAUUUAAUUAAAAUCUUAAUUCAAACAAAUUAAAAUAAAUUCUCGAAAAAUGAUAUAAAAUCUCAAUAAUACAAAUACGUAGAUUAUAACAGUGAAAUCCAGGAACGGGAUUUCACAAAGAUAGUCUUGAUAAUAUAUGUCUGAAACUAUGAAUCACAAGACUUGUAAGUUGUGGAGAUCCAUCCAUCAUGAAUCUUAGCAAGCUAGUGGGAGCUAUAAGCGUCUUAUGAGAGAAAGAUCAAAUCGUUUGAUUUUUCAUAAAGAUGUAAAUGAAUCCUUUGUUUACUAGGUUUACAAUAGAUUAAUGGGAGUUAAUCAUGUUCCUAAAUUUGAAUAUAUAUAUAUAUAUAUAUAUAUAUACAUAUAUAUGAUAUAUUAAUUUUGGAAAUGAAAAAGAAUACUUCUUCGUUAAAGUUAUGACUUUAAACAUUCUAUAACGAUAGAAUGUAUAUGGGAGACAUAUAUAUAUACAUAUAUAUGAUAUAUUAAUUUUGGAAACGAAAAAGAAUACUUCUUCGUUAAAGUUAUGACUUUAACCAUUCUAUAACGAUAGAAUAUAUAUGGGAGACAUAGUCUAUAAACAUGGGAUGAAAAUCUAUAAUGAUAGAUUUCAGGAUAUAAUUGGAUUAUAUCAAGCCCUAAUGAUAGACAAAAGUUUAGACAUCGAAAUUUCGGUGAAAUAAAUGUUGAUCAAUAAUUAAAAUUUCAACGUUCAUGUGUCACAUAAAUUUUACACAUAGCAUGUGACGAAACGAAAAAUCAAAAUAAAUCGGAAAAGUCAUCAAACAGGACACGUGUCAACACCUGGCAGAAAUGAUUUAUUUCAUCUGAUUAUUUAAAUCCAAAAAAUCAAGUUUUGGAAUUCUAUAAAUAGGAGGCCAAGACAUUCAUUUUGGGGACACCAAUUCAUAACCAAUUCACCUCACACCAAAACCUUGAAGCUUUGAAACUCCAAAGCUCCCAAGCAAAUCCCGAAGGAUCAAGAAAGCUCUCUUCGUUCUUCGUCAAAUGCUCAUUCAAAAUCAAGCCCCAAUGACACUUGAAGAACUUCUACUAAUUCAAGAUCAAGCCCCGACGACCCUUGAAGAAAGUGUCCAUCAUUCAUCAUUCGUUCAUCCCUAGAUCAAGCCCGAUGGCCCUUUGGAUCAACGACGUCAACAAAUCCGCACAACUGUUUAUCCCAAGAUCAAGCCCCGACGACCCUUUGGAUCAACAACAUCAAAUCCACCCAUUACAAAGAUAGAAUCAGAGGCUAAAUUUGUAGAAGAGAUUGUAACCCCUAAAUCAUCAAUACAAAUAUAAUUUUGUACACGUGUUCUUGUCUCGUUCAUCGCAGGAAUUUCCGUGUUUACAAAUUUGGCACGCCCAGUGGGACAAUCUCUACCUCUCAUCUUUAUCUUUGAAUCCGCAAAAAGCACAAAUGACAUCAAAGAAGGCUCAAGUUGUUCUCGCAGCCAAUGCAAGGAACAAGAGCGUUAUCACCGCAGGCGGUGUCACUUCGGGCGUCACAACUCGAAGCAAGGCAAUAGCUCUUUCUGCCGCCUCUUCCACCCUUGCAUCAACUCCGCCGAAGGAACAAGAGCACCUAAGGCACAAACCUAUGAUCACCCUGGCCUCGCUAAGGGCACCAAGGAAGGAAAGCCCAAUGAAGUACUCUGGUUGCAUGCUUUCUGAUGCCGACUCAAGCGGCAACUUAGCCAUGCAAGUCAUGACUACUGGAGCGACUUCAAUCGAUGAACAGCUGGCUCAUAUGAAUGAAGCGAUCGCAAGGCUAACACGGAUUGUGGAAGAAAAAGACCAGCAAAUCGCCGCACUCGUCAACCAACUAGACGUAAAACCCAACGUGAAAAUCGAGCAAGGGGAUGAUUCAGUAAAGAAGGAAAAUGACGAGGAUGAAGAGCAUCCGGUGGAGAAAAUCGAUGUGAAGCCGGAGCCAGGCCAAGCAGCGGCACUCAUGAGAUCUCUUUCUAUCCAACAACUGUAAGAAAUGAUCGCCAACAUCAUCAAGGCACAGUAUGAAGGAAGUUCACAUGACUCCGUACUAUACUCAAAACCCUACUCCAAGAAAAUUGACGCUUUGAAGAUGCUAAGGGGUUACCAGCCACCAAAGUUCAUGCAGUUCGAUGGAAAGGGAAACCCGAAGUAACACAUCGCCCAUUUUAUUGAGACUUGCAACAACGCAGGGACAGAAGGAGAUUACCUCGCUAAGCAGUUUGUACGCUCGCUGAAAGGAAAUGCCUUUGAGUGGUACACGGACCUAGAGCCUGAGUCCAUUAACAGUUGGGAGUAAUUGGAAAAGGAAUUCCUCAACCGCUUCUACAGCACCCGCCGCACCGUGAGCAUGUUAGAGCUGACGAACACGAAGCAAUGGAGGGAUGAGCCAGUCGUGGACUACAUCAACCGAUGGCGCAAUCUAAGCCUCGACUGCAAGGAUAGGCUCUCAGAGAUCUCUUCAAUCGAGAUGUGCGUCCAAGGCAUGGAAUGGGGGUUACACUAUAUCCUUCAAGGCAUCAAACCACAGACCUUUGAAGAGUUAGCCACCCGUGCCCACGACAUGGAGCUAAGUAUUGCUCAUCACAAGAAGAAAAAGCCGAUCACCGACUUCAAGAAGGAUAAGGUGUUCUCCCCAAAUGUAGAAAAGACUGGGAAGGAACCCCCCAAGGAAGCGUUCACUGUCAGCACUGCGCCCAUCAAGACCGCCUCCGCGCCUAUCAAGAUCUCCUCCAAAACCAAAGCAAAGGAGAUAAAGAGAGGUGAGCCUUCUUGCACCCAAGAAAGGUACAAAAGCACCUUGAGGGAAUUGGAGCAGAAGGCGUACCCUUUUCCUGACUCAGACAUGGAUGCAAUGUUAGACGACUUGCUGGAAAAAAAGGUAAUCGAGCUACCCGAGUGCAAAGGCCUGAAGAAAUGAAUCGCAUAAACGAUCCUAAAUACUGCAAGUACCAUCGAAUCGUGAGCCAUCCUGUGGGUAAGUGCUUCGUCCUCAAAGAGCUCAUCACGAAGCUAGCACAACAAGGGCGAAUCGAGCUCGACCUCGAAGACAUGGCCGCAACAUAUACUACUACAAUUGCAUUUGGAUCUUUUGAUCCCGUACCUCUCCAAACAACAUCUGACUGUUCCUAUCAGUGCUCAAGUUGCACGAUACCUUCUGCGCAACCAUCGCUGGGGGAAAACAAACAUGAUGCACAUACCGAUGAUGAAGAAUGAUGGACAUUGGUGACCUACAAAAAAACAAGGAAACCAAAACCACAAGCCACAAGACCAAAGGUGGAACAAGUGAGAAAGCAUCAUCGCCGCAACAGUAGGAAGCCCAAAAGAAACGUAAAAGUUGAUAAGCCAACGUAUGCUGGGGAACCUAUGGAGCAAGAGCCACGCAUUCCUGUCUCAUUGCAUGAGUACUUCCCGAAUGACUUAUUCCAACAGUGCAUUAUCGCUGCAUGCCACAUGGUCGAAGUAGAAAUGGAAGAACCUUCAAAAGGCAAAGAUAUCACCACUAAGGGAGAAAAAACUCUCACACUCGAAGAAGGUCUGCCAACACACUUUAGCAUUGAGGAAGUGCUACGAUUGCCAAAGAAGAUGCGAAGCGCAUUAGCAGCGGUCUUGGAAAGUCCCAAUGACCACGAAGCGCAAGAAAGCAAAGAUGAAGGCUUGAAGCUUCAGCCACAUGAAUGUGCCAUCGAGGACACAAUCCACUUCACCGACGAAGACUUGCUGCUAGGAUCCAAGCCUUACAACCGUCAUCUCUUUGUCUCUGGGUACGUAAUGGAGCACAAAGUCAACUGCAAGCUUGUGGAUGGUGGAUCAGCCAUAAACAUCAUGCCAAAGUUAACAAUGAAUACAAUCGACAUCAAGGCGGAUGAAGUGUCCCUAAGUCGUCUACUAAUCCAAGGUUUUAAUCAAGGAGGACAAAGAACGAUUGGCAUGAUUCGAGUGAAGAUGACUAUUGGUGAACUCAAGUCAAGCACGAUAUUCCAUGUGAUUGAUGCAAGAACUUCCUACGACUUGCUCUUAGGAAGGCCUUAGAUCCAUGCGAAUGGAAUAGUACCGUCCACCCUUCACCAAUCCUUAAAAUUCUACCGAGAAGGAGUGAAGGUGAUCUAUGGCGAUACCAAACCAUUCACCGAAGCUGAAUCAUAUUUCGCAGACACCAAGUUCUACAUGGAUGAAGACAUGGUGCCUGAAGCUCUUCCAAAAGAGAUCAAAACCAUAGGUAAAGCAAUACCUAAAAAGCAGGAAUGGCAAGCCAUGCCCAAGAAGCAAGAAGGAGAAGCCAUGCCGUUUUCAAACAAGAACGAUGAUGAGUUUGCUAAACCUGCAAUAACCCGAUGUCAAAAAGGGAGUAGGACACCCUCAAAUGGAUCAAACACACCCGUUUUUCGAUACAUCCCGAUGUCAAAAAGAAAGAAUGGUCAAUCCCCGUUCGAAACUGAAGCAAGCGAAGCCGAUGCACAGCGGCACAGGGAUAAUGUAAAGUUGCUCAAGACGAAUGCAGUUUUACCUUUGACACAGCUAAGCAACGCUAAGGUUGCAAGAUUACCACAAUGCUUCGUAAAAGCUCUACCAAAAGGGGCGGAACCAAUUUUUCUCCCAACCAAGAGGAUCGAAGAAGGUUUUGAUCCAAACGCCUACAAACUCAUGUCAAAAGCUGGGUACGACUUCGCUUCUUCUUCGAAUCCUGGGAAAAAAGGUUUCAAACACCAUCAACAAUAAAGAACGUGACCUCAUCGAGACUCAAAAGAAGUUGAAAAAGCAUGGUUACGGAGUUAACAACAACAAAGCUAGACUUGGCUUCACACCAAAUGCACCCGUGAAGAUUUCAAGCAAAGCGAAAAAUGCUAGCACUCAACAUAUCAGCGUGAGCAUUGAACAAGAUCAAGAAGUGCCUAAAUCCACCCCUUGAACGCCAGUCUUCGAUAGGAUGAAUCAUUUAAGACCCAGAACGUCAGCCUUUGAUCACAUUGGUGGUCAAAACCGAACCUUCGUCGUCAAGAGGCUUAACAGGCCAACAUCCCAAAGCUCUAUUUUUGAAAGGUUGUCAAAACCUAAGAAGCAAAGCAACAAGGCUAGCUCUCCUCCUCAUCAGUCAGCUUUGGAAAGACUUAAAGACAACAGGAAGUUUUCUGGAAAUAGGAAAAUAACGUCAAAGGAAGAAAAGCUCGACAGGCUAGCAGAAAAAGGUGAUAUUCGAAGCUUAAUUCCUUCAAGGAUGAAGCGUCAAGCAAUCUUGGAGGUUGACGCAAAUGGACCACUGAUAGUCAGAAGGCGCACCAUCAUCCAUACUGGACAAUCUUCAUACCAACAAGCCCAAGAGGACGCCACUAAAGAGGAAGUCCAAGAUGUCUUCCACAUCACGAUCCAAGAAGGCAAAGAAGACGAGAUCCUCGAAGAAGAUGUCACUGUUGCACCACCAUAACUUGAGGAUGGGGGCAAGCCACGGUUGACAAUCUCAAGGAGCUCAACUUGGGCACAAAAGAGGAGCAAAAACCUAUCUUUGUAAGUGCACUGCUAAGAGCAGACGAGAUAAAGGAGUACUACCAACUGCUAUCAGAGUACAAAGACGUCUUUGCUUAGACUUACAAAGAAAUGCCAGGCCUUAACCCUGUCAUCGCUGUGCAUCAUCUUGCAGUCAAGCCUAGAACGCGACUGAUAAAGCAAACUCAAAGGCGUUAUCGAUCCGAGCUCAUUCCAUAAUUCGAGACAGAGAUUGACAAGCUAAUCGAAGCAGGAUUCAUUCGAGAGAUGCAAUACCCCAAGUGGAUCUCCAACAUCGUCAUCGUCCUUAAGAAAUCUGGACAAAUACGUGUUUACGUAGACUUCCGGGACCUCAACGACGCUUGCCUGAAGGACGACUUCCCCUUGCCAAUCAUCGGAAUCAUGAUGGACACAACCACUGGCCACGAGGCACUGUCAUUCAUGGACGGCUCUUCUGGAUACAAUCAAAUUCGUAUGGCUCUCGAAGAUGAGGAACUAACAGCAUUCUGCACUCCAAAAGGUAUCUACUGUUACAAGGUGAUGCCCUUUGGUCUAAAGAACGCUGAAGCUACAUAUCAACGCGCAAUGCAGAAAAUCUUCAAUGAUAUGCUACACAAGAACGUAGAAUGUUAUGUGGAUGAUGUGGUGGUCAAAACAAAGAAAAGAUCAGAUCACUUGAAGGAUUUGCGAGUAGUGUUCGAAAGGCUGCGAAAAUACAACCUCAAGAUGAACCCGUUAACAUGUGCGUUUGGCGUCACCUCCAGAAAGUUCCUCGGCUUCAUUGUCAAGCACCGCGGUAUUGAAGUGGACCAAUAAAAAAUCAAGGCCAUUCAAAGCAUGCCUGAGCCAAGAAACCUGCACGAGCUGAAAAGUCUACAAGGACGGCUAACCUUCAUCAGACGCUUCAUCUCUAACCUUGCAGGGUGUUGUCAACCGUUCAGCCGACUCAUGAAGAAGGAUGUUCCGUUUGUAUGGGACGAAGCAUGCCACAAUGCUUUUGAAAGCAUAAAAAAGUAUUUAUCAAGUCCACCUGUCUUAGGGGCGCCUGUGCCCGGGAAACCACUCAUAUUGUACAUCGCCGCUCAGGAAAGUUCAGUUGGAGCACUCUUAGCGCAAGAGAAUGAAUCCCAAAAAGAAGGAGUGCUCUACUACCUCAACCGAACCCUCACCGGUGCCGAGUUGAACUACUCCCCAAUAGAAAAGAUGUGCCUUGCCUUAGUGUUCGCCAUCCAGAAACUCAGGCAUUACAUGCAUGCUUACACCAUCCACUUGGUUGCUAAAGCUGACCCGGUCAAAUACGUCAUGUCCAAACCAAUCUUGACAGGGUGACUCGCUAAAUGGGCGCUGCUGUUUAACCAAUAUGAGAUCAUCUACGUCCCAGCUAAAGCCGUAAAGGGACAAGCGCUAGCAGACUUUCUUGUCGAUCACCCAAUCCCAGCUGAUUGGAAAAUCUCAGACAACUUGCCUAAUGAGGAAGUAUUCUACAUCGACAUCUUCCCAACAUGGACGAUGUUCUUCGACGGAUAUGCACGAGCAGACGGAGCAGGGGCAUGAGUAGUAUUCAUGUCGCCACAAAGGCAAAUAUUACCUUAUUCCUUUCAACUAAGCGAAUUAUGCUCCAACAACGUCGCUGAGUACCAAGCACUGAUCAUCGGACUCCAAAUGGCGAUCAACAUGGGAAUCACAGCCCUUGAGGUAUUUGGCGACUCCAAGCUCAUAAUCAAUCAACUCUUAACUGAAUAUGAGGUGAGGAAAGAUGAUCUCGUCCCAUACUUCCGGCUGGCAACUCAACUGCUACAAGAGUUUGAGACUGUGACACUAGAACAUGUGCCAAGAAAAGAAAAUCAAAUGGCAGACGCUCUUGCCAACCUAGCCUCAAGCAUGACAUUAGGAGAAGACGAAGCUGCAGACGUGCCAAUCUGCCAAAGAUGGGUGAUCCCCCUCGUCACCGAAAUACUACUGGAUGAUACAAAUGUUAUCUCAGUACUUCCAGUGGAUGUUGAAGAGUGGAGACAACCACUGAUCGAUUACUUAGAGCAUGGAAAACUUCCAAACGAUCCUAGACACCGCUCUGAAAUACAUCGACGAGAAACUUGCUUUCUCUAUUACAAAGAAACACUCUACCGACGCUCUUUCGAAUGAGUAAUUCUGAGAUGCCUAGGUGAGGAAGAAGUUAAUCAAGCCAUGGAAGAAGCACACUCAGGCAUAUGCGGGGCGCAUCAAUCUGGACCAAAGCUACAUUUCCAGCUCAAAAGAAUGGGUUACUACUGGCCAAGGAUGGUGAAAGACUGCCUGGAACAUGCCAAAAGGUGCCAAGCCUGCCAAUUCCACGCCAACUUCAUACACCAACCACCUGAGCCAUUACACCCUACAGCUGCUUCAUGGCCAUUCGAUGCAUGGGGAUUGGACGUCGUAGGACCAAUUACUCCGAAGUCAUCUGUAGGAGAAGUUUACAUCCUGGCUGCAACAGAUUACAUCUCCAAGUGGGCUGAAGCCAUACCCCUAAGGGAAGUAAAGAACGAAAUUGUCAUCUGUUUCAUCAAGGAGCACAUCAUCCACCGAUAUGGGGUGCCUCGCUACAUCAUCACUAACAACAGAAAGCAAUUCUCCAACCGACUCGUGGAUGAGCUCUGUGAGAAAUACAAGUUCAAGCAGCACAAGUCUUCCAUGUAUCAUGCCCCGACCAAUGGUCUUGCAGAAGCAUUCAACAAAACAUUGUGCAAUCUCUUAAAGAAGGUGAUCGACCGAACAAAGAGAGACUGGCAUGAAAGAAUAAACGAAGCACUUUGGGCAUAUCGGACGACACAUAGGACUCCUACCCAAGCUACGCCUUAUUCUCUUGUAUAUGGCGUGGAAGCUGUUCUACCGCUCGAAAUUCAAAUCCCCUCACUGAGAAUGGCUAUACAAGAAGGUUUGACUGAUGAAGAGAAUGCAAAGUUGCGCCUUCAAGAAUUGGAAGCACUCGACGAAAGAAGGCUCGAAGCUUAACAACACUUGGAAUGCUACCAAGCACGGCUAUCCAAGGCAUUCAACAAGAAGGUCCGCCCAAGGUCUUUCCAAACUGGAGAUCUCAUCCUCGCAUUGCAUAGGCCUAUCAUCACAACUCACAAGACGAAAAGCAAGUUCACAUCAAAGUGGGAUGGACCAUACAUAAUACAAGAGGUUUACACCAACGGCACCUACUUAAUCAUGGCAGAAGACGGCUUGAAGAUUGGCCCUAUCAAUGGAAGAUUCUUGAAGCGCUACUACCCUUAAAAGGUGACAACUAACACUUCUAGCCCGCAAGAGCAUAAACUGCGCACGGCACAAAAAAAAUGCAUUUGAACUACGUUAUAACUUGAUCCCUCCUCAACCGAGGGUACGUAGGUAACUUGAAACGUCAAAACUUCAAGUACAGUCACACCAUCUUAAAAAAAAAAAAAAAAAAAAAACACUUUGAAGAAUGAAGAGCAAAUUCGAAAAUGUAAAUACUUUAUUUCUUUAAAAGAAGGAGUCGGCUUCAAAGCCUGAUUACAAGAAAAACAGAAGAUACUACUUGAAAACUAUGUCCCUACAACUACGAAGGCGAUCUUCAAGCAAGCCUUCCAAAGUCUUCAAAGUCUCUACCUCGGUGGGAGACAAGAUGGGCAACUCCAUAGUCAUGCCUUUCUCUCGUUCUAAGCGUGAAAUCUCCUCUUGGCAUUGAGAAAGUGUAGUUCCCUGCUCCGCGAGAACACUUUCAAGUUGUGAUGCUUCGAUUACCAACUGCUCUCGCUCUCGCACCAACGCAUCUAGAUGCACCUGGACAGAAGUUAAAGAAGUCUCUGUAACUUGAUAAUCUCCCGAAGCAGCUUGCUGAAAAGACUGGACUUGAGCCAGUGACAAGUUUAUUGUUGCUAACUGAUGAGCUCUAACGUUUGGACUCAACUUCUCCAAGGAAAUCCUUACGCCUGAUUUACCUAGAGCAUCCUGGAAAAGUCUGUGAUACGCCCAAAACAAACAGCGGCAACUCGCAAGCAAUCUUCGGCUAUUGCAAAGAGAAAGUUCCUCCGCGCUGGGAACGACCUCGUCAUAAAAUUUACCUUGGAUCGGCAAGUCUCCUAUCCUGUGAAGAUCCCAAAGUGAAAUUGACAUCUCCCCUUGCACCGUGUGAAGUGUGUUGGUCGCUGAACACCAAUGCUCAAGGAACGCACGAAGGACGGAAUGAUGACGAUCAGAACUAAACAAAGAUGCGUACACAGCGUGGUAAAGGCCCACUUUAGUAAACACAUCUUUAGAUCGGCUUAAGACAUCUUCAAGCCACUCCCAAUAAAACUCAUCAAAGACGGCUUCUCCAGUAGUCGACAGGGUACCAUUCCAAGCCAUGGCUCCGCUGCGAAUGUGAUCACCAAGAAGCUUAAACGAGGCCGGAUGAUGGUCACGAGCAUGGUGCGAAUGAUUCAAAAUAAGAACCCUCAAUGUGCACGCCUUUUUCUUCGUAUUUGGUUGAACAGCGUCUACCACCUCCCAAGAUACUUCAGAAGACCAUGACUUAAUAUGCAUGGAAUUGUCUUUCACGAGAAAAGCAAGCACCUUAGGACCAGUCAGUGGCGCGUAAAGCUUCAACGUUGUUCCCUCAUCUUGUGAAUCGCUUUCAUUCGCAAGAAUGGUGAUGGUGUUGUUCUUAAAACAUUUGAAUACUACCAUGACCGCAAAUCAGCCACAAAACUUAAGCAGCACGACAAAGAUGGCAGCUACAAGAUGGUCCUUCAAGGCACGCUACAGUGGCAAAGGAAACCGAAAUGCUACGCAAUCACACUACGCAAACCCGCAGCGAUUACGCAAGCAGUUUCUUGCACAGCAUGUCGACGUCACCACCAAGAAAGAACUGUGACCAAAAGGCAUUACGCAGCGAAGCCCCGCUGCAGGCUCUUGCACAGCAUCACAAGGCAGCGCGCCACCGAGGGAAAACUGUGGUCAAAAGGCACUACACAGCGAAACCAUGUUGCGGUCUCUUGCACAAGCACACCCACGGCCUGCUACCACGGCUCUAAAAGCUUCGCGAAGAUCCUGGCGUCAAGCUCUGCCUUCUCAAGAUUAAAGAUUUCUAACAUUACAAACAAAGAAAUCCAUCAAUGGGGACACACAUUGUGCGUAAAAAAAAAAAAACACACAUUAUAUUAUGUUUUAUAUAUAUAUAUAUAUAUAGACAUAUGUGUGCACGGUUUGGUGAUGGGACAAGUGCACGGGAUGGAGAUGGUGACAAGACGAUUAACUUCCACAUAUAUAUAUAAGGAAGCAAAUGGAGAUGGUCACGGGGCGAUCAACUUCCAUACAUACAUAUAUAUAUACAUAUACAUACAUAUAUAUAUAUAUAUAUAUAUGGCUUGAAAAGACGCAAAUGGUGAUGGUGAUGGGACAAAUAUAUAUAUACAUAUAUGCAUGGCUCAAAAGAUGGAAAUGGUAUGCACGGCUCAAAAGACACACACACACACACAUAUAUAUAUAUAUAUAUAUACACACACAUGUGACUCACCAAGUAAAAGCAACAUGAAGGAAUUUGUCAUGCCCUGAACCCGGGUCGGUAGUAAAAACUCGAACCCGAAUCCGAAACAUGAGUUAAAAGCUAAAUAAACAAAAGGAAAUUGACACGGGUUGGAAAAAUUAAACUCCUCUUAUUAAAAUAACUCCAAAAUUCUUACAAGGUGUACAAAAAUAAUAAAUCAACACUCUUAUCACCAGUGUUGCCAAAUAAUUCAUCUGUAAAAUAAUAGGUUAGGGGUGAGCAACAACCAUUGUCGCUCAGUAGGGAUAUAACCUUAUCACAGUAAAUUGACAAUAUUAAAUUAUGUGUCAUGAAAUCAUAUAGCCGAAUAUCAAAUCAUUAUUUAUAAAAUAAUACAUGAAUGCAAUUGAACCUCUUCGGCUACCCCCGUUAAUUAAUAUAAUAAAACACGCAGACCUGCAAGUUCCAUACCAUGCAUUUUACCCCCGCAGAGGUGGUUCGAAUGUUCCAUUAUAGAAACCAACCCCCAUACUAUAUCCCAAGUUCAUAAACCCCUUUUUGCUAGUCAUCUUAUCUAAUUCAUUGAUCUCCAGCCCAAAUCACCCACAUCGACAAUUCCCGUCGAUAUCCUAUUCUACUGUGCACAUCGAGCUCGCCUAGAACUGGUUUCACAAUGAAUAGAUUCAACUACACAAAAGAUCCUUUCCAACUACCCUUAUUUCCAUACUUCCAAUUUGAACACUGAAAAUCCAACCACAUCAAUAUGAAUGAUGCACAAAUGUGUCAUUUUACCUUUCACAUAUUUCACAGUAUAUUCUCAACGAAUAGCAUUCCAACAAUAAUUCGAUAACCAAUAACAAGUAAACACUUAACUGAAGCAAUUAGCCAAUUAAACUCAAUCAUAUAAAUCAACCAAAAAGAUCAAGAAUAUUAUAACACUUCACGAAAUUUAAUAAAAUCAAUUUCUGUAAAGGUCUGCCUUAUUUCCCCUACAUGGAGUCCAAAGCAAACAAUCAGUGUCCCUUACCAACACCUCGAUUACACACAACCGUCGCGAUAACUGGAGUUCCUCUAUAAAUAGCACGCUGUUGAUUGAACACUGCAAGCCAUCUCUCAGUUUGCAGCUUCUUACUCAUUUCCCUUAUAUAUAAAAACCUUCUACUCUAUAAUCUGAACUCUAUCAAAUACUCAUGGUAGUUUCACCCUCUCGUUUCAGUUCUGAAGCUCUCUCUAUAUAUAUAUAAACUAAACCAUUUGCAUGCUCCAUGCAAAUUCUAUACGUUCGCGUUUGGAAACCAAAGGGUAACUACCCUAUUUAUAGUUGAAAUGGUCGGCUACAGCACUUAGAGACCAUGAAUAAUAUUAAUAAAGUAUGAAUAGAUAUAUAUAGGAGUUGGGGCUUCAGAUUGGUUCUCAAACCAAAUAGGGAUAAUUUUUUUCCUUACGUCGGCACCUCCUGCUUCUAAAACCAUGAAUCAUACACCUCUUUUGCUUCUGCGUUGUAGUUUGAACUACACGCUAAGGACACCUGUUCACAUACUUGCCACCUCAAGCUAAAAAAAAUGAUACCUUAGAUAGUGAGAAUGCCACCACGUUGACACAGCUCCAUAAUACUCUUCCUCCUACUAACACCUCAUGCUAAGCCAAUGUGGUGAGUCAGCAGCAUAUGUACCGAAACUUCAGUACGAUAAAUAUACAUAAAUCGAUUGUAACUUAAUGGCUAAGUUGUGGAAAUUCUAAACCAAAACUAGGUGAAUAAUAGUAUAUACAUUUUAUAAAAUACGGGUUCUCACAGAAUUGCAGAGGGCAAAGCACAUUAUAUUACAUAUAUAUAUGUAUGCACCAUCUAAAAAAAAGGGGUGAAAGAAUAGUGCAGUAUGCACCAUCUAAAAAAAAAAAAGGAAGUAACACAUCUUAGUCAGAUAUACGUUUUAGCACAACAUACUGAAUAAAAUAAAGCAUGUCCAUUGAUAUCUCUAAGAAAUUACAAGUGCGUAAAAAAAAAAGGGAAAAGAAAAGAAGGGAACAAAAAAGCAAGCCUUCACAAAUGUCACUUAUGUGAAGCCUCAGUACUUGAAGCCUUAGUACUCGGUGGAACCCUAGAAGAGGGAGGCAUUGGAGAUGGAUUAUUCGGGGCCUCAAUACUUGGUCGAACUCCAGAUGACGAAGGCAAAAGGUGCCUCUGGAAUACAUCCACAAAUCUCUAAUUGUCAAUUUGAAUCCGACCUUCGAAGUCCAGCAACUGAUCAAGCUUCCUCUUCAUGCUCGUCGAAUAACUAUUUGCAAGCACAUGCAACUCUCUAUUCUCGUGCUUCAGCUGUCUGAUCACUUGAUUAAGAGCUACUACCUCGACUGUCAAUGAUUCAACUUGGCGAGUUCAAACAAGUAAGCGUUGGCCCAUGUUGGAAACAGAGUUCGCACACUGGACACUGAGAGCCUGGGACUCUCGAACAACUAAUUCAUCGGACCGUCAUGAAAGUAUCCUAUUAUCUUUAGGAGUAAUGAUGUUCCUAGCUACAACCGUAGUCGUUGCUACAUCCCUCAUUACAGAGUCUUCAACUGUAAGAGGACCAUUAAAAGAUGAGAAUGACGGGCGCCAUAUAUUACCCUGACGCGGUGCACCUGUGUCACUGCUGAGACUCAAAUCUAAGCAAAUGUUAGACGGGUUACCAUUUCCAAAAAAAAAAAAAUGGUAAAAGAAAAGGGUUGAAGUGAGUAAAAUCUCAGAAAUACAGCAAAGACAAUUUUUAAAGGCGGGCAAUCUUCAAAGUGUGCAUGUUGAAUGCAAUUGACACCUUUUUCAAAAGAAGAGGCAACACAACCACUUGUUCAAAAAAAAAAUCGAAGAGACGCCACUCUUCAAAUUUCAAAACCCAGAUUUUCCUACGUAAAAUCUGUCAACACUUUUCAGACGCAGUUUCAGCUUUCGGCUAUCACGUGCAACUUUGCCAGAGAUCACUGACGAAGUUGAAAACGUGUGGAGUCCAUUAUUCCCACCUACCCGACUUUUGGCCGACAAACAUGGGUGACAAGGCCACAUUCACCCUGCCACUUGCUGUUGGGAGCUCACCAUAUAAUUCGACCUUCAUCCUCUAUAGCAAGACACACAUACAGCCUGACUUUUCUUCCUUGCCGAAUGCAUCUGCAACCAAAACUCAGUUUUCUUCCUCCUUGAAAAUACAAAUGCCUGACUCUUCUUCCUUGCCAAGAAUACAUCUCAAACUAAAACCUUUCAACAUACUUAGUUUUCUUCCUCCCUGGAAAUGCCUCUUCAACCAAGUCACACCGGAGCAAAGGUAUCUCAUAUAACUGGGGUUGAGAGCAAGAGUAUCUCAUAGCAUGCUUUCUCCCUAUCCUUUUCUUUGUCCUCCCUCUUCAAUGCGAAGACAAGGAUAAAGAAAGCAAUAUGUCGGAACCUCCACUCAAGCUCCUGGUAAGGAACCGACUGCUUGGAACUUUUCCUGAUUGCUCACCUAGCACUGCUCUCGAAGUACCCAUUGUUUCAACAUUUUGUGCUUCCAGAGAAGAUACCACAUCUGCCUGGAGAACAGAAGAGGCGAGUGAAAAUGAUGCAUCGAAGCAUGUGGAGACAAGCUCAACAAAUACAUGUGUUGAUCAUCCGCUACUUCUUCAAAAGCAUAAGUAUCUCAUAUCAUCGGGGUCGAAAACAAAGGUAUCUCAUAUCAUGCUUUUUCCCUAUCCUUUCCUUUGCCCUUGCUCUUGCCUGCAGUGUUGGAAAUAUGCCCUGAAAGUCAAUCUUUGGAAGAAACCUUUCAGGACAAUUGAAUCGAUGUAUGGAUGACUCUUAUACAUCAAAUGGAAAAAAUACUAAUUAGGACUAUCUCAAUAAACGAUAUAUGUCCUAAAUAGUGUAUCCAUGGACAAUGGAUCGAUUGAAGAAGUAAUCUAAUGAUGUUAGACUACAGAGACCUUCUUCACAUAACCAAAUGUCCAAAAAGGUUCCUGGUCAUUGGAUUGUCGGAGGGAUACUGACAAUGCGUAGACCGGUACAUACUGUGUCCGCUUCAAUUGGAAGGAUGGAAAGUCUCAUCCCAUUCGUGUUGUGACACUAAGACAAGUAUGUAGGUGCUCAUUAAGGGAAUGAGUUCACUGAACACAAUCGAACGAGAGUACUUGCAUGGAGGUCUACUCACAUGUCAAGCAAGUAACUCUAAUGGUUGGAAUAAUGUAAGUAGUCCUUUGACCUGAGGCAUCGUCGUUGUCUUGUGGUUAAGUACUUGAUCUUUGAUUAUGUCAAAAGUCACUCUAUCAGAAUGUCAACGGCAUAGUUGGGGUUAAGCCACUUAGUCAUGAAGGCAAGUGUAUGCGCAACAAGGAAUCUCUAAUCCUCGAUAAGAGAGGAAGAAUACUCUAAGAUAUGAUUCGGGAAUCUUCGGCCGAAGUAUCGAGCGUAAUAUAGGGAAAGCGUUCCUAUACGACUCAAUUGAAUCAUAUAAGAAGGAAUAAUCACAUUAGGGGUUUGACAUAAUAUAUCCAUACCCUAAUAAUGUGAUUGAGAGUAUUGUUUUUAGAGAAGGAUCGAAUUACAUUGUAAUUCCAACUGAAUAGGUUCUCCGAAUAAACUUCUACAUUAGCUUGGGUAGCUAUGACAUAUGGUUAGAUGUCACUCAUAGCUUGUGAGUUCUUCUAGAUGAUUAAAUGUAGUCGUCAAAGAAGAAAGGUGAAUUAAAAUGAAGUUUUAAUUCACUAAGUGAUUGAAUUAAAUAUAAUCAAUUGGAUUGAUGCCAAUCACCUCACUGCCUUGCUAAUUAGAACCUAAAAGAUUGUUCACCAAUACACUAUUGUAGUGAGUAACUAAUGGAUGAAGGAAAUAAUUAAUUGGAUUAAUUAAGUGUUGUGAUUAAUUUAGAAAGUCUAAAGAAAUCAUAAAAGCGAUAAAGAUCGUUUUUGGGCUUAAAGAAACGUUCGGGUUUAAUUGGGCCCAUUGGGCCUAAACCCAUUGGGCUUUUAUUCAAGCAUUGGAUGACUUGAAAUAAUAAAAGCCCAAAGCCCAAACAAACAACAAAGAGGGCCGGCCACUUUUGGUGGAAAAGGUGAGAUAUUUAGUCAAGUUGUUGACUAGGUUUCUUUUGUCUAUAUAAGGAACUUUAUAGUGAUAUUUUCAUUAGGGUUUUUGUGUGGUUAAAAACAACAAAGAGGCAAAAGAAUAUCUCUCUAAGAACUACACAAAGGCCGGCCACCUUGGGGUGAUUUUACUAACAUAUCUUUCACCCUUUGGUUAUUCCUUCAUCCUUCUCACUACACUAGUGGGUGAGGAUCUUUAGAGGUUUCCUACUUUGGAAACUUGAAGAGAACCUAGGAGCACUCAUUCUAACAAAGUGGAGGAGGCAAGGAGGGAAGCUAGGCUCAAGGAGUUCAAGGAACAAAGGGCUUGGAGGUGGUCCAUCCUUGGUCUCAAGUCUAGAUCAAGAGGUAUAAGACUAAACCUUCACUUUGUUCUUUUCUCUAAAAUUUUUUUGAUGCAUUAUAUAUAAACCUAUGAACCUUGAAGGGGAUUUGCAUGACUAUAGCUUUGAUAAUAUGUUAUAAAUGCUUCCGCUGCUUUCGUAUAUUAAAUUUUGAUUUUGUAUAUGCAUGAUAGUCAUUUAGAAAUCCCAUACAUGAAUCUCAUAGUUUUCCCUUCAAGUGGUAUCAGAGCCAAAGGUUUAUGUAUAAUGUGUCCUUUUGGAUUUUAUGCAUAUGGGUAUUAAUGUUAUGUAUGACAUAUUUAUUGUUUCAUUCAAAGUAUGUUUAUCUUUUGUUUUUCAAUAGUUGAAAAAUGUUAGUCAAAAGUUGAGAAAGAUAUGUAUGCAAAAGAUGUUUUGUAUGCAUGAAUGAAAAAUGAGUUUAGAACUAGUUUGACAUAUUAUUUCUUCAUUUAAAAAGUAUGUUUGUCUUUUGUUUUUCAAUGGUUGAAAAAUGUAAAUCAAGAGUUGAAAAAGAUAUGCAUGUAAAAGUUGUUUUGUAUGCAUGAAUGAAGAAUAAGUCAUGAACAAAAUUUGGGGUUUUUUGUUCUUGUGGUUGGCACGGUUUUGGGGGUGGUUUUUGGGUUGUGUUUGUGUUUUAUUGUAAACCACUCACACAUCCUUUUUAAAGCUAGAAAAGAAGGUUCUUGUCACUUUUGUUUUUUGGGUUUGAAAAAUCACCAAGAAUAUACAAAUCUUGAAAAUGUGUUCAUGGUUUUGUUCUUGGUGUUCAUAGUUUGGUUUUGGGUGAAAAUGGUUUUAAUUGGUUUUCAUGCAUAGUUUUAUGGUUUUGGAUGAUGUUCUUACCAUCCAUAACCAUAUUAAAAACUUAUAAAACCCUAGACUUGACUAGGAGGAUUUCCAUCACCCAUCUCACCUAAGUUUUAAUGGCAAAACCAAGUGACAAGCAAAAUUUAAUUUUUUCUACAUAAUGUGGCUUUUAAUGCAUGUUGUGUAAGAGUGUGUAAGAAACCUCCCAUCCCCUUAAUGUGGCCGGCCUCCCUAGUGGAUUUAUCCACUUGUGGGGCUAUUUUGUAAUCUUUGAAAAGUUGAUAUUUACUUUGAAAUAUUUACGGUUUUACCCCUAACUUUUCAUAUUUGCAUUUAGGCCCCUACUAACUAGAAAGUUAAAAUAUUUGAUUUUAAUUUUGUUAGUUGUUUAAACUCAUAAUACUAUUAUGCCCAUAUGCACUAAAUCUAAAUGUUUAUGUUGCAUUCCAUUAUGAUUAUUUAAAUGUGUUUAAGUAGUUAUAAAAUGGGUGACUAUGGACUUAUGCCUUAAACGAUAAUUGAGCUAUGAGAUAAGGCGCUAAAAUCAAAUUGUUUGAACCUUGGGAAUGUGUUUUAAUUACUGUUUAAUUGGACCUUGUCACGUUUGACGUUAAUCUAUCUCUCCCCUUUUAGUAUAUGUAAUUUAUAGGAAUUUGUACAAAUCGGUUUGUAAUUCUUAUUACUUCUUAAUCUCUAUUCGUUAGUUGAUUCCCUCUAGUGCUAGACUAGAGUUUCUUUAACUAUUGGUAAGGAGACAUAACUAAAAGAGGGUUUGACAUGAGAUUAAAGAUUAAAAGGGGUCCAAUGCCCUAAUUAGCAAUGAAUGAUUGUCUUUCAUUUCUAAUGGCUCAAUGAAAAUGGUUUUAAUUGGAUUGAUAAGCACGUAAUUAAAUUGACACAACCUCCCCGAGUUUAUAUUCAACAAUGUUGGCUCGUUGUUGCAAUAACCUAAUAAGUCCAUGGUCAUCCAAGAGCCUAAGAUAACUAUAAAGUCCAAUUUCAAAGGAAUGCAAAAACCUUAGUAGUAGUAGUUACUUCCAAUAUUUGAAAAAUUCGUUUUUGAUAUUGAUUUGUUUUUCUCAAAACAAAUAGUGGGAGUAUCAUACGCUACUAAACUAUAAUGAAUACAAUUAGUAGUUAUAUAUAUCUCCAAUAUUUUGAAAAAUGUUUUGAUAUUGAUUUGUUUUAUGAAAACGAAUAGUGGGGAUAUUAUAUGCUACUAAAUUUCAUUAACUUUGGACUAGUAGUUGUAAUAGGACAUUAUUUAUUUGAUUGUGAUUAAAUAAAUAAAAUUGAUGAGACCUUAAAAUCCCUCAACCAAACAAUAUUAAGUUGUAAAGCGUAAGAGUGCUUUGAACACUUUUUCGUGGCCUUCCACCGUGGUAGGCUCCAAGCGUUUAUGACUUGUACACCGCCUUCACCCUAUCAUGGGGGAAGUGACAAAGUGCAUGCUUAUAUUCAGGAGGAGUUUAUUUAAAACAUUUGAUGAGGUUAAGGUAGGCAACGAGUGUGGCCAACAUCGUAUCAUCGUGAGGUCAUGCUUGAACCCCUAUCUAAACCGGCAUGGUGGGAAAGAACUUAACUAAGAGAAAUGGUGCCAACAUCGUAUCAUCGUGAGGCAUUGUUUUCUCUAGAGGCCAAAAAGAUGGGUAAUCACAAGAGGUUGUUGUGAAUGGGUAAGUUGUACCCUCUCAUUAUUAUUUUUGCUAGCCAACAUCGUAUAAUCGUGAGGUGGGCUUGGUAAUAGUGAGCCUCCCAUAACCCGCUAGGAGCUUUCUUUGAAAUCUCCCGGAUUCCAUCAUGAGGGAUAUGGAAUUUGCCAAAAAUGGUGGGUGGUGUCAUUCGGUUUAAAGACCCGAAUCGUUUGACUUAAUCAACAAUCAAUCUAAUUAUUUUAUUUGUUUAUGUAUAUAGAUAUGGUUGGAAGCACACUCGCGAAAAUACUCGACAAACAUUGCCUAGAGGGGCACAAUUUCCCAUCAUGGUAUCGUAAUGUCAAGAUUCUCCUAACAUUGGAGAAGAUUGUUUACGUACUAGACAAGGCUCCACCUCACAUACCUCUCGGCCCUGAGGCUACUGAGGAUGAACGUGCUAAGUAUGACAAGCACGUUGAGGAUGACACACAAGCCAAGUGCUAUCUGUUGGCUUCCAUGAAUGAGGAGCUACAGAGACAGCACGAGGGCAUGGACAGUGCAUCUUCCAUAAUACUCCAUCUUACGGAGUUAUAUGGUGAAGGGACGCGCAACCGUCGCUUUAGCACUGUUUGUGAACUUGUGAAGACCAAGAUGGUCAAGGGGGCUCCAGUGCAUCAACAUGUACUGAAGAUGAUAGGAUUCAUUGAACAAUUGGAGAACCUUGGUACUCCACUUGACGGGGAAUUGGCCCAGGACUUCGUAUUGGCUUCUCUUUCUGAUUCAUUUGCGCAGUUCGUAAUGAACUACAAUAUGAAUAAGAUGGAUAGUACUCUCUCUGAGUUACUAAAUAUGUUAGUAACUGCCGAGAAGACUAUGAAGAAAGAGAACGUUGUAGGGACUGCUGCAGUAGCCUACAACAAGCCAUCCUCUUCCAAGGCCAUGCCGCAAGGCAAAGGCAAAGGGAAGGAGAAGAAGUCACCCACUCCUAAGCCAAAAGGAGGAGUGAGGAAAAAGAAGGCAAAUGAGCCCAAAGGGACUUGCCACCACUGUGGAAAUGAGGGGCAUUGGAGGAGGAAUUGCAGGUUAUACCUUGCAACUCUUAAGGACAAGCCACAAGGUAUGGUUUAUGUUCUUAUCUUCAAUUCUAAAUGUUAGAUCUUCUAAAUAUUUAUAUUUGAUAUAAAGGGCUAAUCACUUGUAUAAUUGUAUAUAGGUGGAGGAGCCAAGUAGAAGAAGAACAAGCAAGGAAAAUGUGGUGAAGGGUUAGGCCACUAUAUUUUUUGCUCACUACUUAGGAAGUUUGUUAGGCAUUAAAGAUUGUCUUUAAACUUUCUUAUUUUGAUAAGAACUUAUUAUAUGGCUUCAUAUGAUGGAAGACCACUAUUAGUGCCUAAAUGUAUAAAGGUAUUUAAAUUAGACUCUAAAUGUAUAGAGCUAAUACUUUUUGUAUUAAACAUUAUGAAUGUUUGAAUUAUCAUAUUAAUGUAAUGUGAAGAAUGCCUUUUUAAUAUACUAUUUCCUUAAAGUAGUGUUAUGAAUUGAAAAUUGUCUUGUUGUAUCCUAGAUGAGAUACAAGAGUUAUAUCACUUAUUGUAAUGUGAUAACCAAACUUUAGAUUUAUCAAUUAUGGAUAGAUCUCACAUGUAGGACAUAAAAGGAUACAAUGAAUCUUUAGAUUUGGUUCCAUUUGUCUACUUAUGAGUUCUAUAUGAAUUGACAAAAGUCUAGAGAAUCCUUUCUUGAAGAAAAGGAAGAUCACAUUAUAAUGAUAUAAGUAAUAAGAAAAACGUUUCUUAUAUGGUUAUCACUUGAAACACAAUGAUCAAGAUCACUCUUGAUUCAAUUAGUAGUUUUGAACAACUAAUUGGGCAUUCUUUAAAAGGUUUUUAAAAUGUCAAUUGUGUUAGUGAUUAAACCAAGAAAGAAGUGUCUAAAUCUAUAAAAUGUUUAAAGACUUUAGUCACUUAAUAACAAGACAUUAACUUAGUGAAGAUUGAAACAAAUGAAGCUUGAAAGUUUUUUAAAGCUACUACACAAUGUCUUCUACCAAUAUAAUCCACUUUUAUACAUUUUGAAUGUAUGAAAUGAUUUCUCAUUAAAGUCAUGAGAAAUAGUGGGAGGUGUGAAAAUGGAUAUAAACUUGAAUAUGAUUGGUUUAUAGUUGUCUAAAGAAUAAUAGUAUUUGACUAUUAUUAAGAGUUUGUAAUUUUAAUUGUUAAAGGACUCAAGCUCUUCAAACGUUAAAAUUCUAUGUUGUGUGACAUUCUAAAGAAUAGUCUUUGAAUGUUGGUUUCGUCAACCUAGCAUAAAAUGGUUAUAUGUUGGGAGUUGUCCAUCAUUCUCUUUUAUGAGAACAAGCUAAAUAACUAAGCAUAUGGACAAGUUGAUGAAACAAAAGGGAAAUAAGUUUCAAAAUGAGUCACAACAUAUGGUUUUAACAACAAGACAAACCAAAUUCAACAUCUCAUGUAACGAUAUUGCUCUAUGUAGUUUUGAUAAAGAAUUAUAUCAACCACCUAGAAGGAAUGGUUGAGUUUCUAUAUCCUUAGUAGGAGCCAUGCUUCCACUAAAGACUUGGAUAAUUCUUAUAUGACUACAUUAAAGGUCUUAGUAUGACUAAAACUUGAAGUAUGGUGUAUGACACCAUAUAAUUUAAAUGAAUAGACUUGAUAAAGCAAGUCACACAUUUCAUGGAAUUACUUGAGAAGGAAUUCUUUUGUGUAUGAUUCAUUUAAAGUUAAUGGGAGCAAUAUGCAUUCAAAUCAAGAAAUAUAAUUGUUAUUUUUGAAUGAAUGCUAAGUUACAACAAGGCCAGUGGGAGUGAUGUCAUAAUUUGAGCAACAAGAUAUGAAUAAAGUCUAUUUGAUAAGACUUAAUAAAACAUAGAUGUUACUCGAGAAAUGACAAAACAUGACAUGGUCAAUUUUGAAGUAUAGACUUGAAAUUGGACUUAUUAAUAUAGCAAAGCUAUCUCAAUAAUGUUAUAUGGGAAUUAAAUCUCAAAUGUUGAAGAUUUAAGAAAGCAUUUUCCUAUGUGAUAGGAAGUCACUUUCAUAACCCUUAUAAUGAAUGUGUCAUAAAAUCACAAAAGGGACACAUGUAUUGACUUGUGAAGAAGAUAUCCAAAGGUGAAGAACCAAAGGGGGUUUAUCACUUUAAGAUAUUACUAUAUCCCAGGAUCAGAACCAAAGCAACUGAUAGAGUAUUAUUGCCUUUAAGAAAGAAACAUCAGAGUGGGACUCUGGAAGCGUGCAUUCACUUAGGUUGUUAACCAAAGUGAAAAUAAGCCAUUUUAACAAAUGGAACUUCAUAAUGGAUGAAGUACUAAAUCAUAUGAAUGAAUUUUUUAGUAUUGUACUACAAUGGUCUCAAGGUUGGAGCAAAAUUUGUAUAAAGUAUACAAACGAAAUAUAUGUCGAUAUAUAGUUUUAGAAACUGCUUCAAAAGGUGUUUUGAAUGGAAGGGGUUCUUAUAGAACCAAUGAUUGAAUCCAAACCAUAAGGUCGUUAGUAGGAUACUACGACGUAAUGGGGCGAUAGCUCAAGCCAUGGAAUCAAGGUCUCAUCAAAGUAUUCGAACACAAUAAAGAGACAUCAUCAAAUGUUUUGGAAACAUUUGAUAAGUAAAUCCCUUUUAAUAAUAAAAGGGAUUAAUACAUAACCAAGUUAACCUACGAGCAUAAACUCUCUCAACAAGAUGUAUAAGAUACACUAGUGAUUGACUUUAGUGCAAGUGGGAGAUUGUUGGAAAUAUGCCCUGAAAGUCAAUCUUUGGAAAGAAACCUUUCAGGACAAAUGAAUCGAUGUAUGGAUGACUCUUAUACAUCAAAUGGCAAAGAUACUAAUUAGGACUAUCUCAAUAAACGAUAUAUGUCCUAAAUAGUGUAUCCAUGGACAAUGGAUCGAUUGAAGAAGUAAUCUAAUGAUGUUAGACUACAGAGACCUUCUUCACAUAACCAAAUGUCCAAAAAGGUUCCUGGUCAUUGGAUUGUCGGAGGGAUACUGACAAUGCUAGACCGGUACAUACUGUGUCCGCUUCAAUUGGAAGGAUGGAAAGUCUCAUCCCAUUCGUGUUGUGACACUAAGACAAGUAUGUAGGUGCUCAUUAAGGGAAUGAGUUCACUGAACACAAUCGAACGAGAGUACUUGCAUGGAGGUCUACUCACAUGUCAAGCAAGUAACUCUAAUGGUUGGAAUAAUGUAAGUAGUCCUUUGACCUGAGGCAUCGUCGUUGUCUUGUGGUUAAGUACUUGAUCUUUGAUUAUGUCAAAAGUCACUCUAUUCAGAAUGUCCACGGCAUAGUUGGGGUUAAGCCACUUAGUCAUGAAGGCAAGUGUAUGCGCAACAAGGAAUCUCUAAUCCUCGAUAAGAGAGGAAGAAUACUCUAAGAUAUGAUUCGGGAAUCUUCGGCCGAAGUAUCGAGCGUAAUAAAGGAAAGCGUUCCUAUACGACUCAAUUGAAUCAUAUAAGAAGGAAUAAUCACAUUAGGGGUUUGACAUAAUAUAUCCAUACCCUAAUAAUGUGAUUGAGAGUAUUGUUUUAGAGAAGGAUCGAAUUACAUUGUAAUUCCAACUGAAUAGGUUCUCCGAAUAAAACUUCUACAUUAGCUUGGGUAGCUAUGACAUAUGGUUAGAUGUCACUCAUAGCUUGUGAGUUCUUCUAGAUGAUUAAAUGUAGUCGUCAAAGAAGAAAGGUGAAUUAAAAUGAAGUUUUAAUUCACUAAGUGAUUGAAUUAAAUAUAAUCAAUUGGAUUGAUGCCAAUCACCUCACUGCCUUGCUAAUUAGAACCUAAAAGAUUGUUCACCAAUACACUAUUGUAGUGAGUAACUAAUGGAUGAAGGAAAUAAUUAAUUGGAUUAAUUAAGUGUUGUGAUUAAUUUAGAAAGUCUAAAGAAAUCAUAAAAGCGAUAAAGAUCGUUUUUGGGCUUAAAGAAACGUUCGGGUUUAAUUGGGCCCAUUGGGCCUAAACCCAUUGGGCUUUUAUUCAAGCAUUGGAUGACUUGAAAUAAUAAAAGCCCAAAGCCCAAACAAACAACAAAGAGGCCGGCCACUUUUGGUGGAAAUGGUGAGAUAUUUAGUCAAGUUGUUGGCUAGGUUUCUUUUGUCUAUAUAAGGAACUUUAUAGUGAUAUUUUCCUUAGGGUUUUUGUGUGGUUAAAAACAACAAAGAGGUAAAAGAAUAUCUCUCUAAGAACUACACAAAGGUCGGCCACCUUGGGGUGAUUUUACUAACAUAUCUUUCACCCUUUGGUUAUUCCUUCAUCCUUCUCACUACACUAGUGGGUGAGGAUCUUUAGAGGUUUCCUACUUUGGAAACUUGAAGAGAACCUAGGAGCACUCAUUCUAACAAAGUGGUGGAGGCAAGGAGGGAAGCUAGGCUCAAGGAGUUCAAGGAACAAAGGGCUUGGAGGUGGUCCAUCCUUGGUCUCAAGUCUAGAUCAAGAGGUAUAAGACUAAACCUUCACUUUGUUCUUUUCUCUAAAAUUUUAUUUGAUGCAUUAUAUAUAAACCUAUUAACCUUGAAGGGGAUUUGCAUGACUAUAGCUUUGAUAAUAUGUUAUAAAUGCAUCCGCUGCUUUCGUAUAUUAAAUUUGAUUUGUAUAUGCAUGAUAGUCAUUUAGAAAUCCCAUACAUGAAUCUCAUAGAUUUCCCUUCAUGCAGAACAAGGAGAAAGGAAGCAAUCAGUCGGAACCUGAAAUUAAACGUCCGAUCAGGAACUGAUUGCCCGGAACCUUUGCCUGGUUGCUUACCUAGCGUUGCUCUCGAGUGCUCAUCUUCAACUGUUGAUGGAUCUCGAAUUUCCUCAGCAAAAUUUCAAAACAGUUGAUAUGGUGUUGGCUCUUUACACUGAAGCUGCCAAGCAUGGAUGAGUGGCUGAAAAGUGAUGCUCUGAAGGACCAUUUAAAGGCAAAGGGUUGCGCACCACUUCGGUUAGGCGAAAGAAACAAGCAGAGAAUAAUGCAGCAUGAUGAGCUGGAACAAAUCAUUAUGGCAGGACACCCUUCUCGACCAAACUGCAUAAUCCAGACGGAGGGGUCUAAGUCAAAUCCAAGCCUGCCAUCGUUGCUAUAAUCAAAGAGCUUGAGAAGCUUCAACAACCUUUCGCUGGCACUAUGACCGAAGAACAAAGUCUCGAUAAUCCUUAAAGAUCAAGUCACCAACUGGAAGAAGAGCCCAUCAAUCUUGAAGAUCAUACCGUUGACCAAACUGCUCAAGGUUCAUAUGAAAAUGUUGCGAACUUCCUUGAUCUUUCAAAGCAUGCAUGUCCUGAAACUGCUCGUGGUCAUGUUUAAGUUCGAGAUCAAGCCUCAACGGCCCUUAAAGAAAUCACAAGUCCGAUUCAAGAUCAAGUGUCCAACACCCUUGAAUCAAAUCUAGUUCAAGAUUAAGUCUGUGGAAAGUCCUUUGGAGGAAACGAGAAAACCCUCCAGCCCAGUUCAAGAUUAAGCCUGUGGAAAAUCAACAAUUGGAGGAAACUAGAAAAUCUUCCAGCCAAAUUCAAGAUCAAGCCCCGACAACCCUUGAAGAAAUUACCAACCCAGUUCAAGAUCAAGCCUCAACGGCCCUUGGAUCAACAUCUGCAGUAAGGGACUUCAAAACGCAUCUUCUACAUGUGACAAGCACAUGUAUACGAUGCACCUUGAAGUGGGGGCAUUUGUAGACAUCGAAAUUUUGGUGAAAUAAAUGUUGAUCAAUAAUUAAAAUUUCAACGUUCAUAUGUCACUUAAAUUUUACACAUAGCAUGUGACUAAACAAAAAAUCAAAAUAAAUCAGAAAAGUCAUCAAGCAGGACACAUGUCAACACCUGGCAAAAAUGAUUUAUUUCAUCUGAUUAUUUAAAUCCAAAAAAUCAAGUUUUGGAAUUCUAUAAAUAGGAGGCCAAGGCAUUUAUUUUGGGGACACCAAUUCAUAACCAAUUCACCUCACACCAAAACCUUGAAGCUUUGAAACUCCAAAGCUCCCAAGCAAAUCCCGAAGGAUCAAGAAAGCUCUCUUCGUUCUUCGUCAAAUCCUUAUUCAAAAUCAAGCCCCAACGGCCCUUGAAGAACUUCCACUAAUUCAAGAUCAAGCCCCGACGGCCCUUGAAGAAAGUGUCCAUCAUUCAUCAUUCGUUAAUCCCUAGAUCAAGCCCUGACGACCCUUUGGAUCAGCGACGUCAACAAAUCCGCACAACUGUUUAUGAGACGGCCCUUUGAUUAACAACAUCAAUCACAUACAAGAUAGAAUGUAUUUGGAAGAUUGUAAUAAAUCAUCAAUAAAAUAUAUUUCAUGUUUUGGCAUAAAUUUGACAAAAAGAUGCUAGGAAGUUUCUCAUAUGAUGAUAAACUUCAAUCAGAAGGACAACUCUAGUGAAGACUAGAAGGUUGCUCUUCUCAAAGGGAACGUACCCUUUGACUCCCAAAGAAAUAAUGCGUAAAUAGAAUCCUUUAUGCAUACGCAGAAAGGUGAUUUAUGUAUUUCAUAUUGUAUGAAAAACAUUGAUAUGAGUUGUACCUAGAACGGUACAAGACGAUAUCAGUGCAAGCCCAGGAUCAGAACCAUGGCAACUGUCAAGUGAGUCCUUAAGUAUUUAAGAAAUACUAAAGGAUAAUUCCUCAAAGAAUGAGGAAGAAUUAGAGUAACGUAAUGGAAGCGUAAAUGUAUUAGAUUAUGAAUCUAUGAAUCUAAUAUCAUCAUUGGAUGUUUCUUCAUUAUGAAUGAAGAGAUAAACAAUAUCUCUUUAUUAUGACUAAAGAGAUAUUUGGAUGGAAACAUUAAAGUAAUGACUUUAGUGUGUUCCAUUAUGAAUGCAAAAUAUAUUGCCAUAUAGAAGCUUUACAACAAUGUUGUUUGGAUGGGAAAGUUCAUUUAUGAACUCUCUAUUCGGUUCCAACCAGAAAGUGUAUCUAGUGUACCGACACUAUGACACUAAUGGGGCGAUAGCUCAAGCCAGGGAAUCAAGGUCUCAUCAAGAUCCGAACUCAAAUGAGAGACUGAACCACAUGAUUGAGAAUCAUGUAUAAUGGUGACGUCGUUAUUCUCAAGGUUGCUUCUAUGGAUAACAUAUAGAUAUCCAUUGUCUAGGCCUACUACUUCAGCCAUUUAUGAAAUGACUACAGAAGAGGUAUCAUCACUGAUGACCAAGCUGAUUGGCUCUAGUGCAAGUGGGAGAUUGUUGGAAAUGUGCCCUAAAACCAAUCAUAUGAUGAUACUUUACGGACAUUUCACAUGUUAAACUAAUCUAGUUUAAUAUAAAGGGCAAAGAUUAUUGUUUGAGCCGUCUCAUAUAAAUGUUAUAUGCUUAAACGAUAAAGUCCAAGGAAUAUGUGAUUGGGAGAAUGCGAAUCUAAUGAAGUUAGAUUCAUGAGACCAUUCUUUUCGUAGACACAUCCUAAAUGUUCCUGAUCAUAGGAUUGCCAAUUGGGCAUUGACAGUCCGUUAAGAUCAGUACGUGCUAUGUCUUCUCUCAGGGAGAGUGACUAGUCUCGAGUCAUUGGUGUGUGUGACAUCAAGACAAGUACGUAGGUGCUCAAUAGAGAAUGAGUUCACUGAACGCGAUCAACGAAGAGUUCUCAUACUUCAUGUCACAUGAGAACUCAUGGUUGGGAUAAUGCAAAGUAGUCCUUUGACCUGAGGCAUCAUAGUUGUCUUGUGGUUAAGUCCUUGAUCUUUGAUUAUGUCAAAGUCACUCCAUCCGAGGGUGUCCACGGCAUCGUUGGGGUUAAGCCACUUAGCCAUGGAGGCAAGUGAAUGCGCAACAAGGGAUCUCUAACCUUCAAACUGUUUGAGGGAGAAUACUCUAUGAUAUGAUUAGAAUCUCUGGCCAGAGUAUGAAUGAGAUUUAGGAAGUCGUUCCAAAUCACAUUCAAGGUAAUCAUAUAAGCACAACGAAUCACAUUGGAUAGUAGACAUGAAAAAUAAACUAUCAAACCAAACAAUGUGGUCAAGAGUAUUGUAUUAGAGAAAGACCGUAUUGCAUUUGUAAUCCUAAAACUGAAUAGGUUCUCCACCUCUUCUGAUUAGCUUGGGUAACCAUGACAUGCUGCUAGGUGUCACUCAUGGUUUGUGGAAGCCCUAAACGUGUAUAAUCACUAAAGGGAGAAUUGAAAGUAAGUUUCAAUUCACAAUCGAUUUGAAAGAGUUUUAAUCGCCCACUGCCUCGCUAAAAGGAACCUAAUGGAUCGUACACCGUGUAAGGUAGGAGAUUGAAGAAACAAACGGAGAUGAGUAAGAAUAAUUAAAUGGUUUAAUUAUUUAUGGCAAGGAUUAAUUAAUAUGUUAAUUAAUCAAACGAAUAAAGUUCGUUAAAGACCACGGGUUAGUUCAUUCAAGCCCAUUGACUUAAGUUGUAUGACAACUUAAUGAAUAAUAAUUCACAAAGG
RNAcentral lists this long non-coding RNA (43823 nucleotides) under Malus domestica (apple). Its description in RNAcentral is "long non-coding RNA (MDOM_LNC006669)". The record is from RNAcentral. Lineage: Eukaryota; Viridiplantae; Streptophyta; Magnoliopsida; Rosales; Rosaceae.